UCCAGACUCUCCCACCGAACAGGAUACGUUUAAAUAAGGAGUUAAAAAGAAUUCAUAGCUAUCUGGUGAAACAGUCGUUCAAAUUAAUUCCGCAAAGAUCCGUAAGCUUGACGGUGGCGCUCCGAGCGUCGUCAGUUAUGGCCGCCGGUCUGUUUUGUUGAUGACAACUUAUCACCUUCGCCGAGUAACCUGUUAAGUGUUUAAUAUACCGAAGGGAGCCCUUGGUCGUGGUUAUAACUAAGUGAUUCCUUUCUCUUAAGGUUUAUGAACGUGCGUGAUAAAGAUGUGAAGUUAAUGAAGGCGUAUAAGUCACGUCGGACGUGAGGUUACGAAGAAGAACGCGAUGAUGCAGCUCGGGUAAUCACUGCUCGUUCCUGUACUUUAAGGAAGCAAUUAUCUAGGCUGGACCGUGCCAGCUGGCGGAUGUCUUGCGGUUUUCCACACGAUCGAGAAACACGAUCGAGCCGUCGAUGGAUCCUUGAUUUCUUGCGGUAACGGCUACUAGGAUUGACCGAAUGGUUAAUUGCUCGCGAGCGAUUUAAUUGAUCGGAUGGGUGUAUACGAGGUGCAGCUUAAACCGGUAGGAAAGUUCCUUCGUUCCCGUGGGGCCGGAAGGCCGAAGGACCGACAAAAAAUAUGGAUUAAAUUCUCCACGCUGCGGAGUCUUCACCAAAGAAGUAGACGCCGCUGGCUAAGCAACUCUUGACAAUAAGUCUGCCCACCCAACCAGCGAGUUUUAGACGGCGUCUCGAAUCAUCCCUUCAUUUGGCACGCACCCCCAUGGCUAUCGAGGAUUCCACGUCUUGCGUUCUGCGCCAUCUUGACUCGACUUUAUUUAUCUUUCACGGAACGAUCCUCUGGACUAUCUUUACCAAGUGGAGUGUAUAAAACUUUUUUUUUAUGGUAUAUAUUUUUUUUGAAAUUCGUGCACCUCAGUUAUCUGUAUCGUUCGAAUGUAUGGAUAUUAAUAAUAUACAGUGUAUAAUAUACAACGCGGUUGCGCAAUACUAGGCGAUAUGGAUUUAUUCCAGUCGUGUUACAUAAGUACCAGCUAGACGACAUUUUCUCUGGCUCUCAUUCACGAAGUGUCUUAUGCAAGUGCGCGACGCUAUUCUACUUGCUUGCAUCUCAUAUGGUAAUGGUCGUGAAAGAAAAGGCCCAUCCCGGUCCUACUGUCGAUACCGUAAAUAAUAGCUUCCGGGUGGACAGAUUCGAUUUUGUGAAUUUGAGGUAAUUAUUUGGGGCACCAUGGGAGGAAUGGACGAUACAAAUUGCAUUGAAUUUUUGACCAGUCAAUUUUUCUGUGCUUGCUCGUUUUACCUAUUCAAGCACAAAUUGGGCUUUC
This is a long non-coding RNA of Cephus cinctus (wheat stem sawfly), 1345 nucleotides long. RefSeq lists it as uncharacterized. The transcript has 3 exons. Lineage: Eukaryota; Metazoa; Arthropoda; Insecta; Hymenoptera; Cephidae. The record is from RefSeq and is a predicted model, not a curated record.